AACGAACGCUGGCGGCAGGCCUUACACAUGCAAGUCGAACGAUGUAGCAAUACAUAGUGGCGCACGGGUGCGUAACGCGUGGGAAUCUACCUUAUAGUUUGGAAUAACCAUUGGAAACGAUGGCUAAAACCGAAUACGCCCUGAGGGGGAAAGUUUAUCGCUAUAAGAUGAGCCCGCGUUGGAUUAGCUAGUUGGUGAGGUAAUGGCUCACCAAGGCUACGAUCCAUAGCUGGUCAGAGAGGAUGAUCAGCCACACCGGGACUGAGACACGGCCCGGACUCCUACGGGAGGCAGCAGUGGGGAAUAUUGGACAAUGGGCGAAAGCCUGAUCCAGCCAUGCCGCGUGAGUGACGAAGGCCUUAGGGUUGUAAAGCUCUUUCGCCGAUGAAGAUAAUGACAGUAGUCGGAUAAGAAGCCCCGGCUAACUUCGUGCCAGCAGCCGCCGUAA
Molecule: ribosomal RNA, 448 nt
Filed under: uncultured bacterium
Lineage: Bacteria
Description: partial 16S ribosomal RNA
Rfam family: Bacterial small subunit ribosomal RNA
Source: RNAcentral